This is a long non-coding RNA of Drosophila mojavensis, 722 nucleotides long. RefSeq lists it as uncharacterized. NCBI's taxonomy places the organism in Eukaryota, Metazoa, Arthropoda, Insecta, Diptera, Drosophilidae. The record is from RefSeq and is a predicted model, not a curated record. The transcript has 2 exons.
UAUAAUAGAAGAUAACUCAUAUGGGGUAUAUCGAAAGCCAAAUUCAUACACAGCAUGCAACUGGCUCACGCAUGAGCUAACAGCGAGCAACUCGUUCUUUGUUCGUUCGUCAGACAUUGGUAAUAGAAUAGGCAUCGUAAGCCUCCUCAAAACUUAUUCCGGAACCUACUUCAAUUCUUGAAGGUGAGUCGAGAAUGGGGCGUGGCUCGGCUUGGUUAUGCGUGGUUGUCUACAUACAUAUUUGUGUGGUUGGCGCGAUGAAUUUUCACUGGAAAACUGAAAAGCCAAACGACGAAAGCGACGACGACGACGUGACUUCCGUUGCCACAUGCGAAAAACUUUUCUCACUCCCAGUGUAUAUGUGUGUGUGUGGCUGUCAACAGGAUAUGUCUACUGCGUCGACGGCUUGUUGAUGACAUAAUUAAUGCCUUGCUGUGACAACAACAGCAAACAACUGCAACACCAACCAACAGAAACAACAACUAGGCAGCUGACUGCCACGUUCGGCUUUCGGUUUUUGAAGUUUUUCCCCCCAAUAAGAGGACAAGCUUUUCCGGUUUUCCUCAUGUCGCUGCUGCUGCUGUUGCUGCUGCUGUUGCUGCUGCUGCGGGGAAAACUGCAGAAAAUGUGAAGUGGAAAAUUAAAAAGCAAAAUGCAAUUUUGAUUGACAUACAACAACAAAGCGAAGCGUCGACGCACAGCUGAUGCUAUUAAAGGUUAAA